This 253-nucleotide ribosomal RNA is filed under the name uncultured bacterium. Its description in RNAcentral is "partial 16S ribosomal RNA". It matches the Rfam family "Bacterial small subunit ribosomal RNA", at positions 524 to 776 of the family's 1533-position model. The record is from RNAcentral.
UACGAAGGGGGCUAGCGUUGCUCGGAAUUACUGGGCGUAAAGCGCGGGCAGGCGGUCUGACAAGUCUGAUGUGAAAUCACCCGGCUCAACCGGGCGAGGCCAUUGGAAACUGACAGGCUGGAGGGCAGUAGAGGUAGGCGGAAUUCCGGGUGGAGUGGUGAAAUGCGUAGAGAUCCGGAGGAACACCAGAGGCGAAGGCGGCCUACUGGGCUGCACCUGACGCUGAGCCGCGAAAGCCAGGGGAGCGAACGGG